RNAcentral lists this ribosomal RNA (497 nucleotides) under uncultured bacterium. Its description in RNAcentral is "partial 16S ribosomal RNA". It matches the Rfam family "Bacterial small subunit ribosomal RNA", at positions 28 to 507 of the family's 1533-position model. The record is from RNAcentral.
GAUGAACGCUGGCGGCGUGCCUAAUACAUGCCAGUCGAGCGAACGGACGAGAAGCUUGCUUCUCUGAUGUUAGCGGCGGACGGGUGAGUAACACGUGGAUAACCUACCUAUAAGACUGGGAUAACUUCGGGAAACCGGAUCUAAUACCGGAUGAUAUUUUGAACCGCAUGGUUCAAAAGUGAAAGACGGUCUUGCUGUCACUUAUAGAUGGAUCCGCGCUGCAUUAGCUAGUUGGUAAGGUAACGGCUUACCAAGGCAACGAUGCAUAGCCGACCUGAGAGGGUGAUCGGCCACACUGGAACUGAGACACGGUCCAGACUCCUACGGGAGGCAGCAGUAGGGAAUCUUCCGCAAUGGGCGAAAGCCUGACGGAGCAACGCCGCGUGAGUGAUGAAGGUCUUCGGAUCGUAAAACUCUGUUAUUAGGGAAGAACAUAUGUGUAAGUAACUGUGCACAUCUUGACGGUACCUAAUCAGAAAGCCACGGCUAACUACGUG